RNAcentral lists this unclassified non-coding RNA (1300 nucleotides) under Athalia rosae (coleseed sawfly). RNAcentral describes it as "misc RNA ENSAEAG00005004329.1". The record is from RNAcentral. Lineage: Eukaryota; Metazoa; Arthropoda; Insecta; Hymenoptera; Athaliidae.
UGCUUUGAGACCUCGCAGUGCAAGACAUCAACCGUAUAGCCUGAUAGAAAAAAUUAGAAGAAUUCGGCUAUCAACUAGAUCGUUUGAAUUUAAUAUUCAGCUGAAGUGCUCAAUUAUCCGGCUGUGCCGAGAAAAAUGCAUCUCAUAAAUCUACCCACGUAUUCCGACGCUUUCUUUACUAUGGUGACGAUAUUCUCAGCGUUAGCGAGAGUGUUUAUUUGACCGUCUCUGCCCGUACGUGUUGGGUAGUAUUCGGCCACUGCACCUAUGUAGGAAGUUGCAUCUGCUGCCGAAAUCUGGGUCUACAUACCUGCAGGAAUGUGAAUCGGGUCCAAAUCGCUAGUCCGAAGAUAAUGAUCGACAAUUUGGUGGCUGCCAUGGUUGCAGGUGGCCUAAAAAUGUGUAAUCCGCUUACUGUUCCUCAUAAAUAGUAUUAGACCUCUUUAGAAAUUGAUGGAUUCGUCUUAUAAACCCAUCGUAAUUAUCUGAUGCUGAUUCAAAUGUGAUAACUAUGGCAACACCUGAGGCCCUUAUAUGUACGUAAGACGUGUACGUCAGAAAUGGUUUUAGAUGGAUUGGUUGCUUUGGGGAAAAGGAUCACGUUAGAACGGAUCGUUGUAAUUUGUAGAUGUCGCGUUAUUGUAAAAAGCUGUGAGAUUUAAAAGUCCCAUUUUCAUAUCUCGCCGGAUAUCUUCGAGAGUAUUAUUCGGAGGGCGGCGAUAUUUCUACUGAAUUUGAAAGUUAAGAAGUUGAGCGCUUCAAUUAUACUUGGCAACGUAAACUUUACUGUUGCAGUAAAAAAUGAACUCGCGUUUAUUCCAGGUGAAAUUAACUUUCACAAGUACUUACUGUAAUAUUGCGUCGUUCUUACGUGAGUUUUAGAAAAAUCCUUAAGACGCUGCGGUUACUGUUCGCGAAUUCGCGACAUCUAUAUUUGUAAUACAAAUGACGCCGCACGCUUCGCGUAUCUGUAUAUUUAUACAUUGAUUGUGAGUUCAAAGUACUCAGUGACUGCAUGUACAAAAAAUAUACGACAAUGUCAAGCAAUGGCAGCGCUACUUCACUUCGUGUAACAGAGAGUGAUAAAAUAUUUCGAUUUUGUCACUAUUGUCCAAUCCUAACUAUUGUCCACUCCUACUGACAAUGCGUUAUCAAAUAAGUUGAUCAGUUUGUCGAAUAGACAUAUGUAACAUACUGAUUGUUACGUUGUAUUGUAGUCAUGUGUUUACAAUUAGUACGAAUCAGCGAUAUACAUUGAUAGCAUCUUUGCGUAACGAUGAGGGAUUAACGUUACGUGCAG